This 62-nucleotide ribosomal RNA is filed under the name Ophiostoma minus. RNAcentral's name for it is "partial 26S ribosomal RNA". It matches the Rfam family "Eukaryotic large subunit ribosomal RNA", at positions 1 to 57 of the family's 3401-position model. The record is from RNAcentral. Lineage: Eukaryota; Fungi; Ascomycota; Sordariomycetes; Ophiostomatales; Ophiostomataceae.
AAGGUUGACCUCGGAUCAGGUAGGAUUACCCGCUGAACUUAAGCAUAUCAAUAAGCGGAGGA